Molecule: non-coding RNA, 80 nt
Organism: Rhamnusium bicolor
Lineage: Eukaryota; Metazoa; Arthropoda; Insecta; Coleoptera; Cerambycidae
Source: the annotation of a GenBank genome assembly
GCAUGGUAGCCGAGUUGGUAAAUCGCUUAUCGCUAUUUACUCGGUAUCGAAAGUCGAUGGUUCGAUUCCAUCCUGAAGCA